Molecule: ribosomal RNA, 468 nt
Filed under: uncultured bacterium
Lineage: Bacteria
Description: partial 16S ribosomal RNA
Rfam family: Bacterial small subunit ribosomal RNA
Source: RNAcentral
GACGAACGCUGGCGGCGUGCUUAACACAUGCAAGUCGAACGGAAAGGCCCUGCUUUUGUGGGGUGCUCGAGUGGCGAACGGGUGAGUAACACGUGAGUAACCUGCCCUUGACUUUGGGAUAACUUUAGGAAACUGGGGCUAAUACCGGAUAGGAUCUCCUGCUCCAUGGUGUGGGUUGGAAAGUUUCGGCGGUUGGGGAUGUACUCGCGGCUUAUCAGCUUGUUGGUGGGGUAGUGGCUUACCAAGGCUUUGACGGGUAGCCGGCCUGAGAGGGUGACCGGCCACAUUGGGACUGAGAUACGGCCCAGACUCCUACGGGAGGCAGCAGUGGGGAAUAUUGCACAAUGGGCGGAAGCCUGAUGCAGCAACGCCGCGUGCGGGAUGACGGCCUUCGGGUUGUAAACCGCUUUCGCCUGUGACGAAGCGUGAGUGACGGUAAUGGGUAAAGAAGCACCGGCUAACUACGUG